CCUACGGGCGGCAGCAGUGGGGGAUAUUGGGCAAUGGGCGCAAGCCUGACCCAGCAACGCCGCGUGAAGGAAGAAGGCUUUCGGGUUGUAAACUUCUUUUCUAAGGGACGAAGAAAGUGACGGUACAUUAGGAAUAAGCUCCGGCUAACUACGUGCCAGCAGCCGCGGUAAUACGUAGGGAGCGAGCGUUAUCCGGAUUUACUGGGUGUAAAGGGCGUGUAGGCGGGAUGGCAAGUCAGGCGUGAAAACUAUGGGCUCAACCCAUAGCCUGCGUUUGAAACUGUCGUUCUUGAGUGAUGGGGAGGCAAGCGGAAUUCCGUGUGUAGCGGUGAAAUGCGUAGAUAUACGGAGGAACACCAGUGGCGAAGGCGGCUUGCUGGACAUUAACUGACGCUGAGGCGCGAAAGCGUGGGGAGCAAACAGGAUUAGAUACCCCUGUAGUC
RNAcentral lists this ribosomal RNA (443 nucleotides) under uncultured bacterium. Its description in RNAcentral is "partial 16S ribosomal RNA". It matches the Rfam family "Bacterial small subunit ribosomal RNA", at positions 338 to 795 of the family's 1533-position model. The record is from RNAcentral.